UUGCUGAUUCAUCAAGGUGAGUGGUUUAGUCCUUCAUUUCAGUGUAGUGCAAAAGAGGUAGGAACAAGCAGAAAAGAUAUUAGGGAGGCGGGAGGAAGAAGUUUUAAAUGUGCUUCUGUGUUUUCUCCUUCUGCUAAGGCAUUGUCUCCCUGCAUGGUGGAACUAAGCCACGUGUCUUAAAGCAGAUACAUAGCCCUGAGAAGUUGGAUUCGAUUUCUUCGGUUACAUUUCCAGAGUUAAACCCGCUGGAGCAGCUUCUUCCAGGGUGGGAAGUCUUGUGUGCAUGCUUCACUGAGCAAGCAGAGUGCUUGGAGAUGAAUGUGUGGUUCCCUCCUGUGGCUUAGAAGGCUAUAUCGGUAUUUUUAGUUGUUUUUUUUUUCUUUCCCCAUCUUACUGAGCUAGGAAGGGAAGAUUAUGGCACUUGAUGAUUUAAUCAACAUAAUCUCCAGAUAAAACAUGCUCAUGUUAUACUAUUGGGAGAUAUUAAUUUAUGCUGGUUUGCUUCUCCUAAUGUAAAUUAAAUCAUUAGUUUUAAGACCGGAUUGGGUGCACGUGUCCCCUGCCUCUUAAAAAGGCAGUUCAGUAGUUCUUAAAAGCUUCUUGGCUUGGCAUUUCUUGGGAGUCAUCAAAUCCCUUCAGCGCAGGUGUCGUGAGGAGUGGAGCCGAGAUGCAGUGCUUAAAGGUACAACCACUAGCUCUGUGGUAGCUAAACGCCUCCACGCUGGCAGAGGCCCUGCUGAUGCCUGGUGCCUCCUCCUUUACUCAAGUAGUGUUUUGCCAGCUCAUUAAUCCAGUGAGGAGGUUUUACCCCAGGUCUGAGGAACCAACAGUUGCUCCUGUGCUCAAACCUGUAUCUAGAGCAUCUGCUGUCUGUUGAUGGAGAGUUAAGCUGGUCGGUGUGUGGUGGAGACCUGGACAGAGCUUGGUGGUGUCCACAUCCCUCUCCCGCUGGAGAGAAUGCGGGGACAUCGAGGAUGGUGUGCUGACUUGUGCUUGGCAAUACGCCUGAGCAGAGCUGUGGGUGCUGGGUGAUCUUGGAAAUGCCAUCAGCACGUCUGAACUGGCUGAAAAUUCCCCAAAAAUGUAUAGGUGAAGCUCUUGAGUGCGCAACAGAAAUGAAAAGUGAAAUAUCUUUACUGAGAUGGGUGGGAGAUGUCAUAACUCUUUUCAUACAGGCAGGGAAACUGAGGCAUGGUUUCCCAUCACGAAGGGCAGUAGCGGGGUGUGGGGGUAAAUGCCUGAUGCCAGUGGCCCCUCCUACAGCCAACUGGUUUAGAGCAGAGCGCUGAGCCGAGCCAGCGUUGGCUGCUCCUCUGUGGCUCCUUGUAGGAGCACCCAGUGGAGAUGCAGGCUCCGAGCGUUGAGGUGCCCUGUCCGCUUGGGUGGCCAGCAGCUCUGGCAGGGAAGCCAGGCCCUGCUGCUGAGACAGACGGGGACGGCUCCUUGUGACCCAAAGGGGAGGAGAAAUGACAGAGGCCCUAGCAGAUUUCAGGGCUAUUAAGGAUGUGAUAAUGAGCCUUUGCAUGCAUCAUUUUUCAGCACUUCACUCCCCCACCCCCAGUUCAGCCUGUGCAUUAACACUCUCCGUCCCAGGAGGACAGUAAACACUCCGCUGCUGCUGUAACUCCAUUUGUUAUGCAUCUGGGCAUCAACAGGGCUGGUGCGUGCAGAGGAGGGGGCGAGGAGAGAAGGUGCCUUCCCAGAAAGCUGGCUUUGUUCUCCGUCAGCAUAGAGAUGCUCAAGGUACAGGUUUGACCAAAAGAGCAAUUGCUGGUCCCCCAGACCUGGGUUGGAACCUUCUUGCUGAAUUAAUGAGCUGGUAAAAUAAUACCAGCGGGUAAAGGAGGAGGCAGAACGUAGAACUUGCUGCUGUGGGAUGCUCUCUUGCAAGUCGUGGCCUUCAGGUUAUGUGCUUGCGGAGGAUCUCGUGUGAGAUGGUCUCAGUGCAGCUGGGGAAGGGCUGUGCUCACUGUGCUGUUCCCUGCGUUUCCCUGGUGCUGCCUUCCUUGGUAGGGUCAGUCUUUUGGUCUGGUUCUGCAUGGCCCGUCUCUUGGAGGGUGAAAUCUUCCCCCGCGUUGCUAUGCCUCCCCGGGUCCUGCGGGCCGUGUGCCGUACGGUGGGUCCUGGCUGGUGGUGGAUGUGCUGGGGGCUGCUCUGGACCAGCUGCUCUGAGCCUGGCACAGGCAGGAGCAGGCAGGCAGCGUUCUCCUGCAGCGCAGAGCCAGCUUGCUCCUGGGGUGGGGGAAAUUCCUGAUCACUCCUGUGAGCCAGUUAAUAUCUCCAUGGAGGUCAAAACAGGGAUGAAUCCACGAGGUUAUAAAUUGUGUGUGUGUAGCUCUUCCUAUUAUGCUGCUAGAUGGCGGUGCCUGUGCGAAGAGCCGGUCCUUCUUGCUUUCUGAUUUCAUUUUUCCUGUUGGAAUAUAUAGAGGCUUUUUUCUGCCUGAAUAUUUAGAGGCAAGUGUCUCUCUCUCCGCAUAGUAGGCUUGCAGGUGAUUUAUUGUGUGGUGCUCUAGCACUGGGAUUAAAUGUUAAUGCAGGUGGGCUGAUGCAGUCUGCUUUGAACUGGUCAGCUCCUGUAGGUCUGUAGGCUUUUGGGCAAUAAAACCAGCUGUGUGAUAUGGCCCUUUGGCACCCUGUAGAUGUGCCUGUUGGUGCAUUGAGAAUUCUCCGUCUCCACCUUGCCACAGGCACCCUCAAGAGGCAUCCUUGGGGCUGAACUCUUGACCUUUGGCUAGCUGUGAUGGAGGACCCUCUGUUGCUGUGUAAUUGUUAGUGUCCAGCUUCUCACGGGCUUAGUUUUAGAGCUGCGCGUUUCCCCUGGGCAAUGCUCAGGCUGGGGAUGCCUUGCAGAAGGCAGAGAUCACCUCCCUGCUGCCGUGCCGUGGGACAGACAGGCAGGUAUCUUAUCGGGACAGGAGACGAAAAGAUCCCAAAUUGGUAUUUGUCGUUUCUGACAAUGUUCUGUCACGGACAGAGCAAGAGGGGAGCAAUAUUAUUUUUGGUUGGAUUGGGCUGUUUUUCCUCUCCUCUCUUACUGCAGCCGAGCCAACUAGACAUGACAUGCUGCCAAAUGCUUGCUCAGGUUUGCUUUUGCCUUAGUGCAGGUUUUUUGCAAGGGGAAGAAGUGCUUUUUUUGUUGUAAAGAAAGUGUUUGUAGUCUGUCAUGCUGGCAGAGACCUGGGGGAAAGCUGAUAUGCAAAAUGUGUUUUGACUUGGUUUAAUGUCUCUUUCAGGGUGCUGAUGCCUCUCCUGUGUCUCCCUGCCAGUCAUCCAAGGCUUGUCCUGCAGCUGUGGAGCAUCAGGCAGGUCUGUGUUUGGGAGCAGGGACCUUGGUGUCACAGAGGGGUACCAGGAGAGCUCCAGACUCCAGUUCUCAGUCUAUGGCAUGGAGGAGGGAGCCAAAGCAAGAGGGCUUCUGCUCGGCACUGCUUUGGUGUUGCUCAGAGAGACGGCAGCCAGUCGGAGCAGGAGGGAUGCCAGCUGUCUGGAGGGAGCAGGGAGUGUGGCUUAAGUAAGGGAGGAAGAAGAAGCAUGUCUCAGAUGAGGGCAGUGCCCCUCUGAAGUAGGAGGACAUCUUUAUAUUGACUGCUGUCCUUGGAUUAGGGCGGCUGCAAGAAAGGAGGAGCAGAGUGCUCAGCCAAGGCAUCUGUUGUCUCUCUUCGGUGAAGUCCUGCUGGCUCCCAACUUGCCAUUUCUGGAGACCAGACCCACUGCUCUUCCACACAAUACCAGAUCUCCUGACAUGCCCUUCUCACAGUUGCUGGAGAGAAGCUCAACAUGGGGGUGAUGGUCCUGCGCGGUUCCUGCCUGGAUGCCUCCUCUUCCUUGUCAGAUUUCUAGGUCUCUGUUUCACCCCAAGGGGCUACCUUGCCUCCACCGCAGUGGGACGCAGAGAUGCCUGAGCUAACUCUGAGCGAGGAAUUGUGGAGUCCAGAAGCAGCAGGACUGCUUUAAAUGAGGCUUUUGCUCUCUGUAAUCAUCCCAUCUUGAGAAGUACAAGAUACUAUGUCAAGCUGCAGGGCUUCUUCUCAAGGACUUUGAGCUGUGUUUCCUGGGAUCGUGAGCAACUGAUGGAUCAUCCCUGGUGCCCCUGUGAAACCUGACGCUGUCCCCACGCCGGCACUGGGAGAUUUCCAACCAAACCUCCUCGUCUUGGGGUCAGUUCAGUGAAGGAAGCAAAGAGGAUUUUAGGUCCUCCCAUCCUGUGGUGCCUACAGGCUCGAUGUGAUUCGGGAUCUCCGGAGCUGAUGGAUGUCUGGGAGAGUUCUCCAAGUCCUGCUAGGCAGAAGAGUUCGCACAUCAUUAGCACCGUUGCUGUGACCAAACCCUGGCUCGGACAGGCGUGAGUCGUUUGGAGAUGCCUGAUAAAAGGGGGAUUGGAAGUGAAGGAAUGGCACCGCCAGACUGGUGGGGCUGUUCUUUCACCCAUGGCUUGGGGAGCACCCCGCAUCCUGCAGCGAUGGCCGGUGGAGCAGGACAUCAGUGCCAGAUGGGAGUCCAGUGCAAGAGAGGCCGCUCUUUUGGGCUGUGCUGGAGCUCCGUGGGCUCAGUGCCCAGCUGUGACACGUAAGGAUGGGACAGGGAAGUCGUAGGGAGCCUCCAGAGGUGCUUCUCUGCUUGCCACUCUUCACAUUUGAGGAUGUCCCAGGUCUGACAUGAUGUCCCUAUAGCUAAUGGCUCCACACACCUGCCUGCCUCCUGAGCCUCCUACCCCACGAACUGCCUGACCGUCAGCUCUGCACCACCCAUAACGUGUCUUCUGCAGGGUCAGCCAUGCAUUGCCUUGGUGGGCACUUGGCUUGGCCAACGGCGACCAGAGCUCUGCUGCUCCCUGCCUGGGCACGCGCCUGUUAGUGCACACAAAGCAAAUGGACCCUCUGCCCGAGGUGGGGGUUCUUUGCAAUGUUCUUCUGGUGAGGAUUAACUCCUGACACUGCUAUUUGUUAUGGGAAGAGGUUAUGUUUUCCCGGGAGAUGUUGGAUUUAACCGGCAAUGUGAAGCUUUCUCCUGCCUUGGAUCCCCCCCGUCACUGACUGACCAUGUCACGGUUCUUAUGCCUUGAUAAGACUUACCCUGGAUUAUUAUUUAGCCCCUAAUUAAUCUUGAGAGUGAUGUAAAGGCUUUGAACUGGUUGUUUGAAGAUUGAGUGGAUGAUUUCUGCUCUUGUCAAAGAAAAAGGGAUUUGGAGGCAAGAGCCUAGCUCUGAAUGAUGUUGAGUUGCUCUCGCCAGGCAGGUGGGACUGGCUCCUGACUCCCUCCCUGCCAGCGCCUGUGGGGCCCCUGCAAGGCAAAUCCCCUCAGAAAUGGGAUGCAAAACGGUGCUCGGGAGGGAUGCGAGCCAGGAUGAUGUCUGGCUGGGGACUGGAUACACCCUGUACAAACAGUCAGAUGCCAGCGGGAAUCCCCCCACGGGAGCUGUGAGGUUUGGGGUUAACAGCCCGGCCCUUUUCUUCUCCCACAAGCGAUUUCCCCUCAUGUAUCUUGUUUGCUUGCAGACUCCUUGCAGCAGCCAGCAGCUCGGUUGUCUCAUUAAUCACCACUGACAAUGGCCACACAGCGUCUAGUGAAGCCAGGACCUUGUUCCCCAGCCAGGAAGGUGUUGGGAUGAGCCGUAUUGCUCCCUGAAAACUCCAGCCGAAAACGGGGAAAAGGCGGUGUCGCCCAUGGGGUUGAAGCUCAUGGAAGAUGCUCUUUCUCCAUGCCAGCCUCUUGUUCCUGCCUGCAGGCAGGCAGUGAGUUACGGUUAGCCCUUGUGAACCUGUGUCUUUUUAAAAUGCAUCUUUUUAAAAUGCAUCUUUUCCUUCUCCCUGCUCGCUGGGAUCAAGGGCAGCUCUGUGGGGGGCUGGUGGGUUUGUCUGCCACUGCAUUGAUUUGGCAAAGGCUGGGGAUGAAAGCACCGCAGCCUCCAGCUGAGGCUGUGGAGGGUUUUAGGCUUGAGUUUUCCCGAAUUCUGCCCAUCGCAAAAGUAAACAAACGCCACUGGCCAGGGGCAGCUUGGAGCUGGAGAGGGUUGGCACAGGGGCUGAGCAUCGAUCACGGGCUGCUAGGCAAGACCUGACCAAAACCCCACUGGUGUCAGGAGGCAACUCCAACCCUCCCAGCUUCCAAAUGUUGGGCCGGGCAGAAAAACCAGCCUACUUAGAAAGCAGUCGUUUGAUGUUGUGCUGUCAGACUUCAAAUGGCCAUCACUGCGGCUCAUGACCCCGAGCAGAAAUCCUGGUGGACCUCAGCCUGUUUCAGGUCUCAAUCUGACCUGUUUUUGUGAUGCCCUGAAAACGGCAUCAUCCAUCACAGCCUGUGGGGGUGCAGGAAGGGGAGGGCAGGUUAAACUCCUCUCCCUUACCCUCUGCCGCUCCCCGCCACCACUUUAUCUCUCCAGAAGCUGCAUUUGAGUACAGCUCACUUUGUUAGUCAUUUCUUUUACACAGAGGCUUUUAAAAGUGCCUGGGAACAGCGGCUUGUGUCAGGGAGAUGCUUUUCAGUCCAGCGACUGUAAUAUUUAAGUGCUGGUUAAAUAGCCACCUCAUCUAAAAGUAACAGGCAAAGAGCUGAAAGCUUGCCGGAGCCGCAGCCUUCUACCUGCCUAUUUGAACAGGUCCUACAGAGAUGAUUUAGGAGACCAGGGUUUCUUCCCCAUCAGCUGCCUGGGUCACAUCAGGGAUGGGAUGGCAUUUUCCUUGCACCCCCAUGGAGCUCUGCUGCCCCAGGGACUCUGUGCACCCCACGGAUGAUCCAGCUGGCUGAUGGGGGCAGUUCGGGGUUGGGUGGCUGUGGCCCACGGGGGUCUUCUCAAAUGGGUGAUGUGUCUUGAUGAGCCCAGGUGCCUCGAUGUUCCUUCCCAGUGGAGGAGCAGUCUGUAAUGCUGCGGUGGCCCUUCCCUGGCCACGUGGGUCCCGUGCCUGCAGUCCCCAGGGGAGCCCCCCCCUGCGGUGCUGGAGCCACAGGGCUGUGUCCUGAGCUGGAGAAAGCUGGCAGAGGGGCUGUCAGCCUGGGGAGACCCUGGCUGGGGAUGCUGAGGGUAUCCUGAGGUGCCACCACCCCCCUGCAGCCCAUCCUGUCAUGGUACGUGGUGGCGCUAAGGAAAUGGAGAUGCUGGGACCCUUCAUAUGGGUCUUAUUUGCUUUUAAUCUGAUAGUUAAAUUGUUUUCUUCCCAAAUGUAGUAAAUGAGAGGUUUAAUCAAACCCAGCCAGCCAGCACUGAUGGAAUCUUGGCAGUAGAGGAAAACACUGCAUUUUUGUUUGUGUCCCACCGUGCUCCCUUGGAGACAUCCUGGCUCUUGCAGCAGCUCCUCACUCGACGGCACCGGAGGGCACGGGCUUUGCUUAGCUGUUAAUCCAAGUACUGUGCCCUAUGUGGGGCCAUCACAGCGGGACCCCUGCUAGCCCACCUGCUCCCAGCCCCUCUCCUUGGCCAGGCUUCGCGGUGGCAAUGGUGGGACUGUCCUGCUACACCUCUCCUCAACCGCUUUCUUUCCAGGAGGAGGGUCUCACCUGGUACCCCCAUCCCAGGAGUUGGUGUUGGGUUCAAGCCCUCCACCCCAGGUUUCCUAUCAUGCGUGACAGCACCAGGAUCUGCUCUUAGAGCAUCUCCAUGUCUGAACUUCUCUGCCCAAAUCUUAGACAUGUUGUGGCCCUUGGUGGGGGAAAAGAUGAGCAUCUUCCCAGGCCGGAAACAGCCUUGGGCAAGGGUGUGAGUAGGGAUAGAGCCAGCGGGCUUCGCUGGCUUUAAAAUAGGGAGCAAAGCACCCCCAAACGUCCAGCUGGUCAAUGCUUCUGGGAAUGAGGGGAGACUCUGCGUUCCCUUAUGCAUCAGAGCCCUCAAAACCCACUGGCUCCCGGCGCGAGGCCAGCUGAUCCUGGAGACGCGGCUCCUCUGCCUCCUUUUUCCAGAUGGCUUUUCUCAAUCAAGGCUUUUCCAGAAAUAGCUUGCAUACACCGAGCAGCCGGCUCUGCAAAUAGCUCACCUCCCGAAACAAGGAGGCAGUGCGGUCGGAGCAUCGUCCCCUAUGUCCCUUCCAUGCUCCCGACUGCCUUGGUGCUGACUCCAGCAUGCAGAAACCCUCUGCUUCUGCCGGGACGCCUCUGCCGGCUGGGAAAUGGGGAUGUGCCAGGGUCCUCUGUGUCUGGGCUGUCCUGUCCUGCACUGGGGGAGCCCCAGCUUUGCUGUGGGAGCUGACCGGCGGCUUGCUUGGCCAUGUGCAUCCCGCAUCUCUGCAGGGAAGGGUGGCUGGUGGCUUCCAGGGGCAGGGAGGUGGCCCAGGGGACACAGCACAUGGUCCGAAUGUCAUGGGGGCGGGGCACCACUGCUCCCAGCUGCAGUGCUGCCUCGUGUCCCUUCUUAUAUGUUUAUUAUGCCAACUUGAAGGGGGGGGAAUGCAGUUUUUUUUCUGUAGGUUUAGCUGAUUUAUUAAUGGUCUGUAAUGCCAGUAAUAGCUCAUCUAUAAAUCUGUUCUUAAGAAUUUAUAGGGCAAAUAUUCCAGUGCCAUAUUAAAGACACAACUCAUAAAUGCCUGUGAGCACCAGCCCAAUGGCUCUGGCAGCAGAAAACAGUUAUCUGAGGGGAGGGAAAGGCGGCGAGCUCACCCCAGUGGCUUCCACCUGGAGCCUUGAAAAUAUUUGGAAAGCAAAUUAUUUCAGGGACUGUUCCUUCCAGCCAGGAGGUGCCUGUGGCCUCCUGCUCCAUGCUGUGCUGGAACCGAGCCUGCAGUGGGUGUCAGCACCAUCCCGAUGCCAAGGCACUGCUCCCAUCCCUGCAGGCUCCCAGGCCCGUCCACCCCCAGCGCUCUCCCCAGGGACCCCCGCCAUCUGCCAUCACCUCAUCCCCAGCCCAGGGUGACAGUAUUUACCGCUGAAGUGCGCUGAGUGUAAUUGCUAAUCAGAUACAGGCAAUCAAUUCAUCCCCCCGCCGCUGCCGCCUCGGGGAGGGGCUGCCUUUCCCUGCUGAAGGUGACUCCUGCAGGAAUUCAGAUUUAAAAAUAAAGGCGAUAAUCAUCAGAAGUUCAUUAAAUUAGCAUCAGGCUCAUUUGCACGUGGGGGGUGGGGUGGUGGUGGCAGGGAGCAGGACCAGGCAGAGGACAUCUCUACCUGCCUCCCCUCAGUCCAGGGAUGUCCGCAGGAGAUGCCUCCAGCGGGACAAGGGUCCAAACGCUCCUGGGAGCUCUCCCUGAUUUACUCCUCCUGUCCCGGGGUUGCUGCAGUCAUGAGUCAACAGUGCAGUAUAUUUAAAUGCAAAACACCAUUAUCCUUCAUUAAAAGCUCUGUCAUCA
This is a long non-coding RNA of Falco peregrinus (peregrine falcon), 9266 nucleotides long. RefSeq lists it as uncharacterized. The transcript has 8 exons. The record is from RefSeq and is a predicted model, not a curated record. Lineage: Eukaryota; Metazoa; Chordata; Aves; Falconiformes; Falconidae.